CCUACGGGAGGCAGCAGUGGGGAAUUUUGCGCAAUGGGCGAAAGCCUGACGCAGCAACGCCGCGUGGGUGAUGAAGGUCUUCGGAUCGUAAAACCCUGUCGUCAGGGACGAAGGUUGCAUGUCGAAUAGAUGUGCAGCUUGACGGUACCUGGAGAGGAAGCCCCGGCUAACUCUGUGCCAGCAGCCGCGGUAAUACAGAGGGGGAGAGCGUUAUUCGGAGUUAUUGUGCGUAAAGGGCGCGUAGGCGGUGGAAAUCCCCGAGCUUAACUUGGGAACUGCAUCUCAGACUGUGUCGCUAGAGUACUGGAGAGGGUGGUAGAAUUCCACGUGUAGCGGUGAAAUGCGUAGAGAUGUGGAGGAAUACCAGUGGCGAAGGCGGCCACCUGGACAGUAACUGACGCUGAGGCGCGAAAGUGUGGGGAGCAAACAGGAUUAGAUACCCCGGUAGUC
RNAcentral lists this ribosomal RNA (450 nucleotides) under uncultured bacterium. RNAcentral's name for it is "partial 16S ribosomal RNA". It matches the Rfam family "Bacterial small subunit ribosomal RNA", at positions 338 to 795 of the family's 1533-position model. The record is from RNAcentral.